UUAAAUUACGUUUCUUCAUCUGCAGUGCCCAGGCGAGAUGUGCUAGCAAGAUGUCAAUGUCGAACCAAUGCAAUGAUAUUUAUUUUACCAAAGAGCACCUUCUGUCUACCAAAACCUACUAUUGUGUACCUAAGUAGCGCUUCCCUUUUGUUCCUGCAAAUACAUUUUUUUGGCUUGGUAUAUGAGCUGCUUUUUCUGAAAAUGUCUCAUACUGUAUCUAGCUUGUUGUUGUUAUAUUGUCCAUUAAAUGUUACAGCCACAACAUCAAGAUCAUGUCGUCUGUAGACCAGUGAGGAGGAGAAAAGCCUGCUUUGGGUGUGCUAGCUAGAACAACAUCAACCUGCUAGCUAUAUCAGAUAAUCACGUUCAGGCUGAUAUUUCUUCUGUGCAGCAGUCUUGGGGAGCUGCGCAACCGUGCACAGCUUAGAGGGAACAAUGGUCUUCAAUGACAUUUAGGAUAGCUGAUAACCUACAGGUGGCUUACUACAGCUGACAUCCCUAUGAAACAACUGUAGCAGCCCUGGCCCCUCAGAUGAAUGGCACAUGGACAUAGUGUGAAUGCUGCGUACAGUAGAAAUCUGCAAUUGGCUAAGUUUGCUGUCAAUCUCCACCACCACAAACUACAUUU
RNAcentral lists this long non-coding RNA (628 nucleotides) under Salmo salar (Atlantic salmon). RNAcentral describes it as "lncRNA (ENSSSAG00000110210.1, ENSSSAG00075061840.1)". Lineage: Eukaryota; Metazoa; Chordata; Actinopteri; Salmoniformes; Salmonidae. The record is from RNAcentral.